Non-coding RNA from Caenorhabditis elegans, 147 nucleotides. NCBI's taxonomy places the organism in Eukaryota, Metazoa, Nematoda, Chromadorea, Rhabditida, Rhabditidae. The record is from Ensembl.
GAAAUGCAAUGUGUUCUCUGAUAAAUUUGAUGAAGAAUUGGGAUGCUAAGUUGAAGUUUGUGAAGCAAAAGUUAUGAUGUAGUUAUAGCUGUGUAGUUAUAUUAAAUGAUGAUAAUUUGGUUUCACUGAAAUAGUAAAUUUCAAAAG